ACAUGUGUCACCAUGGCAACAACGCUGUAUUUCAACGGUAACGGAAUGCUCAAACGAAUGAAAUGAUUGUUUGAAAUCCAUUCCUUCACUUAAACUUGUCUAAGUCACACUGUUUGGUGAAUAGACAAAAGUAAUUUAUUUAGAAAUGCUAGUUGAAAGCCUAGAUUUGUUUUAGCCCUACAGUUUUAUCCAUUGUAUAAUCUUUUCGUUAUGAAACACUCCAGGACAUAUAAAAAAAUAGAGGGUUCAUUAUAAUCAUUUUCGUCUAAUGUUACUUCCAUGCUGACAAUUUCUCAAUUGUCUGUGAUUUAAGAAACCGUGUUUAGAAUUUCAGCUAAAAUUUCGGCCAACUUAAUAGGAAUAAAUAUAUCAUUUUUAGUGCCUUUCUGAAAAUAAUCCUGGGCUUAUCACAAAAAGUCGAACAAUAUAUUUAAAAUAUUCUACCGGAAGUCUAAUUUAUAUUCUAAACCACAAGCUUUCAACUUGAUUGAGUACCAUCCACAGGCAUAUCUCCUGAUAUACUGGUAUAGAAGAAGAUAAAGAACAACCAAAGAGGGAAAAUAUCAAAAUGUUUUACGAAUUAUUAAUGGUCAUGACAAUAGCCUGCUGCUUUACAUUUUUAAUAUAUUUUUGUGAUCUUUAUCCACAGCCGCCGCAACUGUUCAGAUUUCCUUUUUGACCUGACUAAAACCGCAAACUACAAAUGACAACGAUGGUUUCUCUCAAACUUCAAUUUACUAUACAAGAAAAGAACACGGUUUCUCAUACAGCUGGAAUUUAUACAAGCUUGUAGCAUAUACCCAAAUAUCUUUGGAGCAGUACUGAAUACCAACAUUGAACAUACAAUGGAAAGCGAAAUGAAUGUAGCCGCUUCAAAAAGGAAUCAACACAAUCAUGUAAAUUACAUCCAACAUUUAACUAUUACAUAUUGAAUGUUGUAAAAAAAUAAUAAAAAUAUAACCUAAAA
Molecule: long non-coding RNA, 967 nt
Organism: Octopus sinensis (East Asian common octopus)
Lineage: Eukaryota; Metazoa; Mollusca; Cephalopoda; Octopoda; Octopodidae
Exons: 3
Source: RefSeq, a predicted model, not a curated record